RNAcentral lists this ribosomal RNA (497 nucleotides) under uncultured bacterium. RNAcentral describes it as "partial 16S ribosomal RNA". It matches the Rfam family "Bacterial small subunit ribosomal RNA", at positions 28 to 507 of the family's 1533-position model. The record is from RNAcentral.
GAUGAACGCUGGCGGCGUGCCUAAUACAUGCAAGUCGAGCGAACAGACGAGGAUCUUUCUCCUCUGACGUUAGCGACGGGCGGGUGAUUAACACGUGGAUUACCUACCUAUAAGACUUAGAUAACGUCGAGAAACCGUAGUUAAGGCCAGGUAAUAUAUUGAACCGCAUGGUUGGAUAGUGGAGUUCUGGUUUGCUUUUACUUAGACAUAGAUCCUCUCCGCAUUAUCUAGUUGUUAAGGUAAAGGCUUACCAAGGCAAGUAUGCGCAGCCGACCUGAGAGAGUGGUAGGCCACACUGGAACUGGACCACGGUCCCGACUACUAAGGGAGGCACCAGUAGGGUAUGUUACGCAACGGGGGAAAGCAUGACGGAGCAACGCCGAGUGAGAUAUGAAGGUCUCCGGAGAGUAAAAAUCUGUUACUAGGGAAGAACAAAUGUGUAAGUCAAUAUGCCCGUAUUGACGGUAGCUACUCAGAAAGCCACGGCUAACUACGUG